RNAcentral lists this ribosomal RNA (218 nucleotides) under uncultured bacterium. RNAcentral describes it as "partial 16S ribosomal RNA". It matches the Rfam family "Bacterial small subunit ribosomal RNA", at positions 116 to 334 of the family's 1533-position model. The record is from RNAcentral.
CGUGGGUAACCUGCCUCAUACAGGGGGAUAACAGUUAGAAAUGACUGCUAAUACCGCAUAAGCGCACAGUGCUGCAUGGCACAGUGUGAAAAACUCCGGUGGUAUGAGAUGGACUCGCGUCUGAUUAGCUAGUUGGUGGGGUAGCGGCCUACCAAGGCGACGAUCAGUAGCCAGCCUGAGAGGGUGAACGGCCACAUUGGGACUGAGACACGGCCCAA